Molecule: long non-coding RNA, 1276 nt
Organism: Seriola aureovittata
Lineage: Eukaryota; Metazoa; Chordata; Actinopteri; Carangiformes; Carangidae
Exons: 3
Source: RefSeq, a predicted model, not a curated record
CGAAAGUCCAAAUCUGACAAAUAGUAAACACGUGCUGACGUUACGCGCGCAGAUAGGUUUCUGAUUGGUGGAUGGACGCGUCGCUCAAAAUGUACGGCCUGUGAUUGGAUGAAGUGUGAAGCAACGUUUUCUUUAAAAGACCUGGUUGACCGUCUGGGGACUUGGGUGGCGGGACUCUGGGAGGAACCAGACCUCUGGGAUUUGCCCCUCCUUGUGCGGAUUCUCAGAUGAACCCCCGAAAAGAAAGAAGAAUGCUGUCUGAGGAAAUGUGAUGGCAGCAUGAUAAAAGAGGUCUUCCAGGACUUGCUGCAGAGUGGGAUGACGCGGCCAUCACCAUGCUUCAUGUUGAGGACGGGGUCUUUCUGAUGAUAAUUUGUUCUCAAGAAACAAAGAACCUUUCAGUUUGCUUCAGUGUCUGAACAACAGCAGCCCAGAUGUUACACGACUUUUUGUCGUGACAAAAGUUUGUUUUUGACAGUGGUUAUUAGUUCGCCAUGGUGUAACAUGUAAAGCAGCCAGAUGAUCAAAACCAUAAAACCCUUGAGCAACAGUGUCCACAGGCCUCUUUAUUAUAUAUAUUAAUUAUCCAUGUGAUGUUUCAUAUCCACCCUUAAUGUACAUCAGUUAAGAUUUGCUUGAAUUUAUUAGUUUUUUUUUUGUUGUUUUUUAAAUCAGUGAAAAGUUCCUCCCCUUAAAGGCUGAUACCUUCAUCAUCUCCAAGGGGCUCCACAAACAGAAACCAUGUCGCUGUAAAUACAAAGCUGAGUGAGUGAAGUUCCUGAGAUUCAUAUCAAAAGUAGAAUCAGAAAAUAACAAGAACAGUGUCCUGAGUGGCAGACGUUGGAAGACAGUCAGCGUACAAAGGAAGUCUGAAGACUCUCCGUCAUCCAGGUCAUGGCAUCUCUUCGAGCGCACGAGGAAAUGAGCACGAGGAAGCAUCAUUUAGCAAAGACCUAUUCACAGCUAAAAUUGUUGAAGUCUAGAUAAGGCAAAGCUCUACUAAAUGCUACAAAUGACAGUAACAGCUGGACUUCGCUGACGCUUCUACACAAAAUUAGGAUUGCUUAAAAUAGCUUCAGACAAAUUUAUCACUGUAGUUCAUGAAAUGGUUUUUGUUACGUUGCAAGAAGUCAUUGUGAAUAACUUAAAUUACAGGAAUGCAAUAUAUAUUUCAUGCUGAAAUGAUAUUGACGGUUCAAAAGGUUUCACUUGGCAUUUUUUUGAUACAUUUUCUGGGCGUUUAUUAAAAAGUAAAAAACUGUUUUGAAAAAAUGUA